This is a non-coding RNA of Mycena sp. CBHHK59/15, 100 nucleotides long. Lineage: Eukaryota; Fungi; Basidiomycota; Agaricomycetes; Agaricales; Mycenaceae. The record is from the annotation of a GenBank genome assembly.
GGCCCAAUGGUCUAGACGUAUGAUACACGCUUCGGGGUUUCCCGCAUUACUGAGUAAUGUGCAUUGUGUGUGGUCCCGGGUUCAAUUCCCGGUUGGGCCC